GCAAUGCCACAAUGCCUUUUUUUCCCCUUAAAGUAGAAGGAAACAUAUUUACAAAAGGCGAACUGAUAACUACAAAAUUCAGCAUGAAAGUAGACAAUCCAUCAAUCCAUUUAUCAAAUGACUAGGUGUGAUUCUCAUUUUAAAGCAGUUGAAGCAGUAAUAAAUUUUGCACUAAGGAUACUAAUCCAUCUCUAUAGAACUUUAAUAAAUAAACAGCAAAUGAUCAGAUAGUCUUUGCACAGUAUUUGAAUUUGUAUUUUGUCUCAUUCUGCUGAAAACAUAAAUAACUUUAUUUUUUAUUAUAGAAGUAACUGCCAUGCCAAAGUAUGAAUUUGUCAACUCAUUUGUUAUUCCUUGAAAGAAACAAAGACUGUCACACCAAUGAAGGUACAGUGUCAGUUGGGGAACAGUCUGUUCAACAGUUUGGAAUCCUGACAGCCCUGGGAGAAUUCCAAGUCUCAUACCCUAUAAAUGAUUCCAUGCAUAAGUUUUUUUCUCCUUUGCUACACCACUGUGUAACCUAGCUAUGUGACUGACCCCUGUUUGUUAACAACUCCCAAUCUCUAAGCCAUUUCCUUCUCUACUUUUCCUUGCUUUUACUAAAAAGAAGGUAUAAGCAUGUUUUUCAAAAUUUGUUUCCUAAAGGUUUGCUAUUCUUUUAUACUUCAUCUCUUGAAGCUUGUUAAUAAUAAUAAUCAAAAUUGAUAUAGUGCUUCAAUAUUUGCAUAGUACAUAACUAUCUGCAAUCAACAUUUAUUAAGAGCCUACUAUUAGACAGGACUGAUGCUAAGUCCUGGGGGUAAAAAAAUGAAGUAAAAAAGAGACCUUGCCCUCAAGGAAUUUGUAUAAAUAGCAAUUUUUUACCUUUGAACUACAUCUCCCAGCAUCCCUUUCCUCUUUCAUACCCACCUUGCAUGCUUACAUAUUGUAUAAGUUGUGUGUAACUCCGCCUCUCACUCUCUUCUCCUGUGUGCAUGGUCUGGGAAAGCCUCUCUUUACUGAAGGUGUUUUUUCCUUCCUCUACUUCAAGUGAUUAUUAAUAAAUCUUAUAAAACAUAAUACUGGUAAUAUUGG
This 1074-nucleotide long non-coding RNA is filed under the name Monodelphis domestica (gray short-tailed opossum). RNAcentral's name for it is "lncRNA (ENSMODG00000036218.2)". Lineage: Eukaryota; Metazoa; Chordata; Mammalia; Didelphimorphia; Didelphidae. The record is from RNAcentral.